RNAcentral lists this small nuclear RNA (301 nucleotides) under Dasypus novemcinctus (nine-banded armadillo). Its description in RNAcentral is "7SK RNA (ENSDNOG00000040805.1)". It matches the Rfam family "7SK RNA". From Rfam's summary of the family: 7SK was discovered as an abundant small nuclear RNA in the mid-70s but a possible function has only recently been suggested. Two independent studies have found that 7SK RNA binds the CDK9/cyclin T complex (known as elongation factor P-TEFb). P-TEFb activates transcription by phosphorylating the C-terminal domain of RNA polymerase II. The record is from RNAcentral. Lineage: Eukaryota; Metazoa; Chordata; Mammalia; Cingulata; Dasypodidae.
GGAUUUUUAAACUGAUCUGUUACCCUGUUGAUUGCCAGGGUUGAUUUGGCUGAUCUGGCUGGCUAGGCAGGUGUCCCCAUCCUCCUACAUGCUUCAUAUGUAUUCCUCCCAAGUUGCAUAUGCUCAGUUGAGGACAAUGACCUUCUCAAAUAGAGGACCAUCCUUCAGUCAAGGAUAUGUGUGUAGCAGUGAGUCCCUGCUAGAACCUCCAAACAAGCUGUAAAGAGUUAGACAUUCAAUUUUCACGGUCACUGGUUUAAAAUAUUUUUGAGUAGUAAUAUAUCUUUAUAUUUUUUAAAAA